This 2379-nucleotide long non-coding RNA is filed under the name Canis lupus familiaris (dog). Its description in RNAcentral is "lncRNA (ENSCAFG00845030389.1)". Lineage: Eukaryota; Metazoa; Chordata; Mammalia; Carnivora; Canidae. The record is from RNAcentral.
UUUUUUUAGAUUUUAUUUAUUUAUUUGACAGAGAGAGAGAGAGAGAGAGAGAGAGAGAGAGAGAGAGAGAGAGAAUAAGCAGGGGGAGCAGCAGAGGGAGAGGGAGAAGCAGGCUUCCUGCCAAAGAGGGAUCCUGGCAUGGGGCUCCAUCCCAAGACCCUGAGAUCAUGAUCUGAGCGGAAGGCAGAUGAUUGACUGAGCCACCCAGGUGCCCCAGUACUUACUUUAAAACAUUAAAAAAAAUUUUUUUAAAGCAGAUGGAAUAUACCUAUCUUUACAAAUUCCCUCCUCCCUUGUUUUUCUUAGUUUUCUUCCUCCUUCCCUUCCUAGGGGUAGUUACACCCUUUACAGUAAAGGGUGUAACACCCCUUAGCACACUCCCCAGGGUUCAAGGUUUCUAACCUGUUCAACUUCCCUUUUACAGGUGUAGUCUACUACUGCUCUGCAAGCUCGGCUACAAGUUGGAAUCACACAGAAGGGUUGAACAACACUGAUUCCUGGUCCCACUCCCAGAGAUCCUGGCUUCGUUGGUCUGGGUCCCGCCCGGGGACUAGUAAAGUGCUCCAGGUGAAUGUCAGGUGCAGCCACGGUUGAGAAUCAUCACAUCUAGUCCCUCUCAUGGGGGUCUUUAGAAUCCUCCCCUUCUGAGUACACUCCCCAAACUCCUUGGAACUUUCCAUACGUCUCCUUAAAUUUACAAAGACCCGGCUUUUGCUUGAUGAUUCAGAGUUUUCAUAACGCUGCCCACGGAAGGCAAUGUCUUAAAAUCAUGAUUUUAUGGUUCUUUGGAGUUUGCAAAGCCAUUUCUCACACAUGAUUUCUCGGACUCCUCCCUACUUCCUUGGGAGGUGGGAAUUCAGGGUCAGGAGCAGGUGAUGGCAGCUGGAGCAGCUGUCUGCAAAGUUAGGGCCAGGGCGGCCACAGUGAGCAAAACAAAUAAAACAACAAAGACAAAACAAGACUAACAGAACAAAAUAGAGCAAAAUGAACAAAAACAACAAAACCCUUCAAAAACAGGAUGCCCAGUUAAAUUGGAAUUCCAGGUAAACAGUAAUUUUUAAAUAUAAGUAUAUUCCACGCAAUAUUUGGGACAUACUUACGCUUAAAAAAAUUGUUCUGAGAUUCUAACUGACCUAGGCACCCUGUAUUUUACUGGGCAUCUGUACACUCAGAACCUGUUCCUUUUCUGAGGCUCAGGCUGGUGGCUAUGCCAUUCUCUUGCCUUCCUGUGAUCUCCUAGCGACUCGUCAGCUUGAGCUCCUGCCCACGUUUCUCCUCAUUUCUGCAUAGGUAGCCAUUAUCCUCAGAAAGAGCCUCUUCUGGAUAUUAGAAUCCACUCACACUUCCUUUUUCCCCCUUUUCCUUUCUCCUUCUGUGGCCUAAAUUAUUUAUAAGUUUAGGCUGGUUAAAAAAAAAAAAAAAACCACAAUCAGACAUUUAUUCAGUACUUACUGUGUGCCAGGCAUUGCGCUAAGUGCUUUGCAUUCACUAUUUUAUUUCCUCCUUUCAUGGCUCUUGGAGGUUGAUACCAUUUCCUAGGUACCUAUUUAGGACUAUUUGCAUUUUAAUAUGGAAAAAAGGUUUAUGGAGGUUAAGAGAUUCUGUAAGGUCAUACAACUUGGAAGCUGCCAAAGCUAGGAUUGGAACAGGGCUGUCUGACUCCAGACUCUUUGUUCUUAACUAGCAUGCUAGGAAAACAAGGUGGUUCUAGGAGCCUUGUGGAGUUGCUAGUCAAGUCUUCUAGCUUGUUCAGCUUAGCUUUCUGAAGCCCCUGGCAUUUGGAACAACCCCUGGAUAGACCUCUUCCGUGCCAUGUGGGUGGCCCGAUAGAUUAAGUGUUGACAAAAUAGCAAUCCAUAAGAUGAAUAUACAUUUUUGGAAACCUUAUUUUUAACCCUGAGAAAGAGGAGGCUUUUGAAUAAAGACUUCAGUGGCUGUUGCCAGCCAAGUAAAUGCUAAAUCAACCCAGAGACAAUGUUCUUUAAACACGUUUGCUGAGGCUAAGGGGCAAAUAGUUUACACUGAUUCUGGGUAGCUGGCCACAAAUGUCAUGUGUCAGAGAGGCUUUUUUUUCAAGUGUUCCAUAUCUUUUUUGGUAUAAGCUGCCCCUGUGCUUUAGCAGUCUGUAAAUAUUUGUGCAAUUAAUGUAUGCUGGCAAAUGUCUCAAGAGGAAAGCAGGCUUCAUAAUGCUAAGCAAAAUUGUAAUUAGCAACACAAAAGAAAAAGAAUUUGUCUCUUUCAUCUCAGUGCUUAAAAACUGUCAGUAUUUAAUGCAGCUGGAGGCUUCAGAAAAGAUAAUUUGCAAAAGCUGGUUUUCCUAAGCUUUUAAGUUGGUCCUUUACCCUAGUAUAAAAAACAUUCACUUGAAAAUUAUUUUUU